RNAcentral lists this ribosomal RNA (801 nucleotides) under uncultured crenarchaeote. RNAcentral's name for it is "bacterial SSU rRNA". It matches the Rfam family "Archaeal small subunit ribosomal RNA", at positions 52 to 859 of the family's 1478-position model. Lineage: Archaea; Thermoproteati; Thermoproteota. The record is from RNAcentral.
UGCGAGUUACGUAUGAAUAAUACGUGGCACACGGCUCAGUAACACGUAGUCAACAUGCCCAGAGGACGUGGAUAACCUCGGGAAACUGAGGAUAAACCGCGAUAGGCCAUAAUUACUGGAAUGGGUUAUGGCUUAAACCUAUAUGGCCUCUGGAUUGGACUGCGGCCGAUCAGGCAGUUGGUGAGGUAAUGGCCCACCAAACCUGUUACCGGUACGGGCUCUGAGAGGAGGAGCCCGGAGAUGGGCACUGAGACAAGGGCCCAGGCCCUAUGGGGCGCAGCAGGCGCGAAACCUCUGCAAUAGGCGAAAGCCUGACAGGGUUACUCUGAGUGAUUCCCGCUAAGGGGAUCUUUUGGCACCUCUAAAAAUGGUGCAGAAUAAGGGGUGGGCAAGUCUGGUGUCAGCCGCCGCGGUAAUACCAGCACCCCGAGUGGUCGGGACGAUUAUUGGGCCUAAAGCAUCCGUAGCCGGUCAUGCAAGUCCUCCGUUAAAUCCACCUGCUUAACAGAUGGGCUGCGGAGGAUACUACAAGGCUAGGAGGCGGAAGAGGCAAGCGGUACUCAGUGGGUAGGGGUAAAAUCCUCUGAUCCAUUGAAGACCACCAGUGGCGAAGGCGGCUUGCCAAUACGCGCUCGACGGUGAGGGAUGAAAGCUGGGGGAGCAAACCGGAUUAGAUACCCGGGUAGUCCCAGCUGUAAACGAUGCAGACCCGGUGAUGGGCCGGCUUUAUGCCGGCUCAGUGCCGCAGGGAAGCCGUUAAGUCUGCCGCCUGGGGAGUACGGUCGCAAGACUGAAACUUAA